AAAAAAAAAAAAAAUCAAACAAAAAUUUAAAUAAAGAAUGAAUUUUCAUUCUAAGACAAUUACACUGAAUUUUGGUACAGAAGAGGAUUUCCAAGAAAUGAUUUAUGAAUUGUAUUACAGUGGUAUGGAACAUGAAAGAAAACAAAUCCAGUGUUUUUAAACACUAUCCUUUCAAGCAAGCAGAGCUGCAGCUUUGAAAUGAUCAAUCUAUUUUAUCUCUAGCAAAAACCUACAGAUGUUGCUAUAGCAAAGACUUAUGUAUCUCGGCCAAAGCAAUGUUGUUCUGGGCCUUUUCCAGCUAGAAACAGUUUAACUGGAAACAGCAGUGGCUGGAAGGGACAGCUCAGCUCACCCAGAGGAGGACAUGUGCCAGAGAUUUAUGAUCAUGGACAUUUCAGUUUCACACAUUGGAAAGAACUUUCAAACCUCAACUUUAUGUAUCAGUCUCUGGAAGAGAAGACAUACCUACAGGAG
Long non-coding RNA from Trachemys scripta elegans, 474 nucleotides. RefSeq lists it as uncharacterized. The transcript is spliced from 2 exons. Lineage: Eukaryota; Metazoa; Chordata; Testudines; Emydidae. The record is from RefSeq and is a predicted model, not a curated record.